Molecule: long non-coding RNA, 977 nt
Organism: Aedes aegypti (yellow fever mosquito)
Lineage: Eukaryota; Metazoa; Arthropoda; Insecta; Diptera; Culicidae
Exons: 2
Source: RefSeq, a predicted model, not a curated record
GAGAAACGGCGGAGAUAAAGCUCUCUGAAGUUGACCAUUUUGUAUGGGAAAACGGUUUUGGUGCAUUUUAUAUUUCCGAUACUGUAUCAGCCCUUAACCUUCCCACAUGAACGUAGGCGUAGCAGAAGUGGUAGCCAUUACAAUAUGUAGUAAUGAUAUGAAGUAGAAAUAAAAUAAUGGUUUAUGCAUUAUUUAGGAUCAUCAAGCCAAGACGAAUUCGAAGUCGUGCGCGCGAUAUGAUGACGAUUCAUCCGAUCGUCUCGAAACGACACCGAAGUUGAUGAUGACGAUGACGACGUUCGUUCGCACGGACGAAGAGAAAACGAACAUGCACGAUCAAAGGAACUAGCACUGACUCUCGAACGACUUCAGUUUGGAGAUUAUUGUAGUGGAAAGCAGUCGCAGUUGUGUGGUGAAGUGAAAAAAAAAAAGUGACGAAAAGUAAAAAAAAAUAAGUGAUGACUAAAAUAAAAUAAAAGAAAGAAUAUGUGUUGCAAAAGGUGUUGUAUUGGUUUCGGCCUAUUUUGAGAAAACUCCUACACAAUAGUAAACCAAUCGGAUUACAAAGUAGUUCAAAAACAAAGUUUAAUGUCGUAUUGAAAAUUCUAAAGUAUUAUCACAUAUUGGGUCAAAGAUUCUUCACAAUGGAAACAAAACUCUUUUUUGACCUUUGGACUCGGUUGUCUGGAUUGUCGGAAUUCUGUGAGAUGUGACAAUCAGUCUUCUUCCGGCAGUUGAAUUUUGCGAAAUUCAUCUACUUUUGACCUACUGCAGCAAUAGUGGCAAUGAUUUCUGCGCUUCGACAUUAUUCUUAAAGUUGUCAUUCUCAUAAAGCAUAAGCAUAAGCAUUGAUCACCGUACAAUUCGUAGUUGCUACUCCGUGAUUGACCAGAAUAAUCGAAGUUGCACAAGGAAUUAAGAGAUGUAGCUUGGGAGUAGCUUCCCAUCUGCAAUGUACACUUUCGGGAACUCUAAAC